CUCGUCAGCUGACACGCUGGCUGGAGGGUCAGCUCCUAAAUACGCUGAAGAUGAAUGAUUUCUGAGUCGGUUUCUGCAUCCAUGUUCCAACUGUCAUGCAACUAAUGGUUCAAUUUCAUCAAUACAGCUAAUAUAUGGGCUCAUUGAUUGCUGCAGCGAAAAUCUUUGGAGGGUUUGAGGAGAGGCUCAAAGCUGUCCUGAAGGAAGUCACUGCUUCCAAUUGGGCAGAUAAUCUUAUUUAUUGAUGAGAUCCACACUGUUGUUACUGCAGGGAGAUCACAUUUUUCCAGGAGUCAUACCACUAGCCAUCAAGGAUGUUUUCAGCACAAUCCAAGAUGUAAAUUUGUGACAAUAACGUGAAGCUGUGCAGCCCCUACUAUGUUAGGCCAAACGUUCAAGCGUUCAUUAUUUCCUAACAAAUUUAUCUUCUCCUUAUAGACUCCAAGAAGGGAGUUUUGUCAUCCUAAUACCUGCACUUCUUAAUGUUUGGUUACUUUGGUAUAGUCAAAUAUGCGAAUUUUGGUUACCGGCAGAGCUGGAUUCAUUGGUUCUCACCUUGUUGAUCUUGAAUGGAGAAUGAAAAAAUGAGGUCGUUGUAGCUGAUAAUUACUUCACUGGUUCAAUGGAUAACCUGAAAAAAUAGAUUGACUAUCCAAGAUUCAAGCUUAUUCGUCAUGAUGUGACUGAGCCAUUAAGUAUUGAAGUUGAUCAGAUUUACCAUUUUGCUUGCCCUGCUUCCCCAAUUUUCUAUGCGGUAAAGGUUCAGUGUCUGCAACAAGGUGGUCCUGGGUACAAGAAUACGAUCGAAGGUUACAGGGGGAAGGUACAGAUCCAAGCUUUUUCCAUUUAGACUAGAGUGUAGCGGUGCAUGGGGAUUCGCUGGAGCCAGUGAGGGUAACCCACGAAUCAGCACGGAUUUACUGCACCGUGCUAUUAUGUCAGUAAAAUAGAGAUUGAUACAAAACUCCCAUAAUUGGUGAUCGGAAAUGGGCAAUAUGGAUUUGUUCUUUCAAUAUACCUAUGGCACCGAGGAAGACUUGUUCAAUUGUUUGUAGUGCUCGGAACUUUUACCCAUUGACAAUGCCGGGGAGGGAAUGCGUGGUGGCAGGAAAAACACUGGUGUUGCACUCCUGGUUCUGAUAUCUGCAGUGUGUACCGAGGCUGGAAUGUGUGCGAUUCUUGCACGUAGGAAAACCAUGACAGAGAAAGACUUCCUUGAUGCUGUCAGCAAGGUCAUCAAGGGUUGACAAAAAUUCAGUGCGACGUAGAAGUCCAUGCUAUACAACUGAGGAAUUCGGAUGGCUCAAGGGUUACCAAUAAUCCAUUGCGACGACGAAGUACAUGUUUUACAACUGAGGAAUUUCGGAUGGCUCAGGGGUUACCUAAAAUUUGUUGCGACGUCGUAGUACAUGUUGUACAACUGAGGAAUUCCGAUGGCUAUUGAUAAUAGUGAGACGUCGUUUACAGCUAAGGAAGGUUAUUGACAAUGAUAAUACGUGGUUAUAAUUGUGGCUGUUCGUCAGAUGCAUUUCUUUGUUACAGUUAGAACCUCCUCUAGAAUCUCCAAACUGUACUUAGUUUCUGAGUUUUCGGAGUAACUAGUGAGUCUAACUGCGUAUACCAUCUCAACUUCGAAGGUGCUUUAUGUUAUGUCCUCUCUUAGUUUGCU
This is a long non-coding RNA of Papaver somniferum (opium poppy), 1669 nucleotides long. RefSeq lists it as uncharacterized. The record is from RefSeq and is a predicted model, not a curated record. NCBI's taxonomy places the organism in Eukaryota, Viridiplantae, Streptophyta, Magnoliopsida, Ranunculales, Papaveraceae. The transcript has 9 exons.